UAGUCUAUUAUAAAUAUGAGAAAUAUAAUCCAUUGUAAAAGUGGAUGCAAUGUGUUUAUUGUGUUAUAAAUCAUCAUACUCUUAAAAGCUAUAACCACAAAUAAGUAAAUAUUGUAUUAAAACUGUUCUUAUGAAUAUUCAUGAGAUGAUACAACAUAUAGGUUUUUUUUAUAAUGUGUUAUGCAUUCAUUAUAAUGCCUUAAGAAUACCCUUAUAAUGUAUUAUAAAUACAGGCUUCAUAGAAAGUGUUACCACAGAUCCUUUACUAAUUUUAUUUACACACCUCCCUUAUUGAGAGUGUCUGGGACACCUGUGAUGGGGAGAUCACAGAAGUGGAUGCAUCACAGGGAAAAGGGGCAGGUGAUGAACUUUUCCUCACAGGUGAGGAUGAGGAUGAGGAUGAUGUAG
Molecule: long non-coding RNA, 408 nt
Organism: Cyprinus carpio (common carp)
Lineage: Eukaryota; Metazoa; Chordata; Actinopteri; Cypriniformes; Cyprinidae
Source: Ensembl